UAGUCCACGCUGUAAACGAUGUCUACUAGCCGUCGGGGUCCUUAGUGACUUUGGUGGCGCAGCUAACGCGAUAAGUAGACCGCCUGGGGAGUACGGCCGCAAGGUUAAAACUCAAAUGAAUUGACGGGGGCCCGCACAAGCGGUGGAGCAUGUGGUUUAAUUCGAUGCAACGCGAAGAACCUUACCAGGUCUUGACAUCCUCGGAAUUUGGCAGAGAUGCCUUAGUGCCUUCGGGAGCCGAGUGACAGGUGCUGCAUGGCCGUCGUCAGCUCGUGUCGUGAGAUGUUGGGUUAAGUCCCGUAACGAGCGCAACCCUUGUCCUUAGUUGCCAGCACGUAAUGGUGGGAACUCUAGGGAGACUGCCGGUGACAAACCGGAGGAAGGUGGGGACGACGUCAGGUCAUCAUGGCCCUUACGACCUGGGCUACACACGUGCUACGAUGGCCGAGACAAUGAGUUACAAAUCUGCGAAGAUAAGUUAAUCUAUAAACUCGUUCUAAGUUCGGA
This 507-nucleotide ribosomal RNA is filed under the name uncultured bacterium. RNAcentral's name for it is "bacterial SSU rRNA". It matches the Rfam family "Bacterial small subunit ribosomal RNA", at positions 791 to 1297 of the family's 1533-position model. The record is from RNAcentral.